GACGAACGCUGGCGGCGUGGAUUAGGCAUGCAAGUCGAACGGUAUCAUCCUUUCGGGGGUGAGAGAGUGGCGAACUGGUGAGUAACACGUAGGUUAUCUACCCUCAAGACGGGGACAACCCAGGGAAACUUGGGCUAAUACCGGAUGUGAGCAACUUUUAGUUGUUUGAAAGGUGGCGUAAGCUGUCGCUUGGGGAUGAGCCUGCGUCCUAUUAGUUAGUUGGUGAGGUAACGGCUCACCUAGGCAAUGAUAGGUAGGCGGCCUUAACGGGUGGUCGCCCACACUGGGGAUUGAGAUACGGGCCCAGACUCCUACGGGAGGCAGCAGUCGAGAAUAGUCUACAAUGGUCGGAAGACUGAUAGUGCGACGCCGCGUGAACGAUGAAUCCCUUCGGGGUGUAAAGUUCUUUUAUAUGUGAGCAGUGCUUCUUAUAUUAACAGUAUGGGGAGAGAGAUAUUAGCAUAUGAAUAAGCAACGGCUAACUCCGUGCCAGCAGCCGGGUAAA
Molecule: ribosomal RNA, 505 nt
Filed under: uncultured bacterium
Lineage: Bacteria
Description: bacterial SSU rRNA
Rfam family: Bacterial small subunit ribosomal RNA
Source: RNAcentral